UAGGAGAACCAAAUCCAGAAGCCAACGUAUAGGCUUAGUUCGUGUGUUGUCUCUUGAGUUUGUCGCUCACGUGUACAACAGGGUAUGGGAUGUCUGGUGGGUGGCCCUGUCGGUGGGCUGGCCCAUCCCGGCUGCCGUGGGUGGUCACCUCCUGGAGCAGUCAUGCUGUGUCCGUGAACUCGGGGCCGGGGCCCAAGCGGCUGGGAUGCUGGGGAGCCUGUGUGAGAAUUGAAUCCUGGAGCCUCAGGCUUGGGGAUCAAGGAGAGAGGACCAAGCCCUUCCUUUGAUGCCGUCUCUGGGGGACACUUUCUCCUGGAAGGGGACGAGAGGGCUCUUGGCCCUACCUGCCACUGAGCUGCCCCAUGAAGGACCAGGUUCACUUUGAUUAGCUCCUGUGGCCCGACUUUGGGCUGGAAUCAGGAAUGUUCCAAAGAGUUGUUAGUCUUUUGCUUUUGGCAAAACUCUGCUUAAUCCAAUGGGUUUUUCCCUGUACAGUAGAUUUUCCAAAUGUAAUAAACUUUAAUAUAAAGUAGUCACGUGAACUCUACUGCCUUUGCUUCUUUCUGAGCUGGUCUUGUGGCCGUGACCAGCCUUUUCUCUAAACGCCAAUGAUAUUGGGAAACCUGGCUAAAAGCUCUGUGCCUUCAUCUUUCCCGUGGGGAGGGAUUCUGGGGCCAGAGUCCCUCUGGUUUGUUUGUUUUUUUGUUUUUUGUCUUUGUUGAAAUUAUUCUGGAGAUGGGUAGGUUCAUUCAAGGUUAUACAAGGCCUGAUGUAAAUUUCCGCGUUGCCAAGUUCGAAGGACAGUCUCCUAUAUGGUGAUGAAGCUGUGUCGGCCCCAGUCCAGAUUGAUCCGAGGCCGUGCGCCCCAUGGAGGCCUGGAGCCAAGGCCUGCCUCUCAGACACCUUUGCUGGGACCAGAGACCCCCAGCCCUGGCUCCUGGGAACUCCUGUGUUUGCUUAUUUAAUUUGACAACGUUCCAGCCGCUCUGUUGGCCGCUCUGAGAGGGGACCGUCUGUGAUUCGGAGAGACGCCCUGCCCAGCGAAGGGAACUUGUGCCCUGUGUUUCAUACAGAGACUUUCUGCCGGAGUGCAUGUCUGGACACGACUCCUGGGUGGAGAAGGGGCUGUGACUGUGCUCAUCUCUGCUGGUCCAUGGGACGGCGCUCAACCCAUGGCUGGGCCCAUUCAUGUAGCUAAUAAACGGCAGAAGGAGAGCACGUGUCUGCGGAAAGGUGUGUGU
Molecule: non-coding RNA, 1241 nt
Organism: Kogia breviceps (pygmy sperm whale)
Lineage: Eukaryota; Metazoa; Chordata; Mammalia; Artiodactyla; Physeteridae
Source: RefSeq, a predicted model, not a curated record